RNAcentral lists this ribosomal RNA (559 nucleotides) under bacterium enrichment culture clone 3-1. RNAcentral's name for it is "bacterial SSU rRNA". It matches the Rfam family "Bacterial small subunit ribosomal RNA", at positions 338 to 916 of the family's 1533-position model. The record is from RNAcentral.
UCUACGGGCGGCAGCAGUGGGGAAUAUUGCACAAUGGAGGAAACUCUGAUGCAGCGACGCCGCGUGAGUGAAGAAGGUCUUCGGAUCGUAAAACUCUGUCCUUGGUGACGAAAAAAUGACGGUAGCCAAGGAGGAAGCCCCGGCUAACUACGUGCCAGCAGCCGCGGUAAUACGUAGGGGGCGAGCGUUGUCCGGAUUUACUGGGCGUAAAGGGUGAGUAGGCGGUAAUAUGUGUCAGAUGUAAAAGGCUAUGGCUUAACCAUAGUUAGCAUUUGAAACUGUAUUACUUGAGUGCAGGAGAGGUAAGUGGAAUUCCUAGUGUAGCGGUGAAAUGCGUAGAUAUUAGGAGGAACACCAGUGGCGAAGGCGACUUACUGGACUGUAACUGACGCUGAGUCACGAAAGCGUGGGUAGCAAACAGGAUUAGAUACCCUGGUAGUCCACGCUGUAAACGAUGAGUGCUAGGUGUUGGGUAGCGAUAUUCAGUGCCGAAGUAAACACAAUAAGCACUCCGCCUGGGGAGUACGGUCGCAAGACUGAAACUCAAAGGAAUUGACGG